Long non-coding RNA from Cyprinus carpio carpio, 638 nucleotides. Lineage: Eukaryota; Metazoa; Chordata; Actinopteri; Cypriniformes; Cyprinidae. The record is from Ensembl.
UUUAAAUUUGCGAUGGUUAAUGUUGACACUGUCCUCUAUGAGUGUGCCAAAUUUCACAACUUUCCCGCAGUCGGUUCUAUGGGCUGCCAUAGACUUGCGGCGGAAGCGGAAGAAUAAUAAUAAUAAUAAUAAUAAUAAUAAUAAUAAUAAGAAUCCUAACGGAUACAAUAGGUGCCUAAACACCUUCGGUGCUUGGCCCCUAAAUAUAGCUGCAAGCAGCAAUUACGGGGCCAAGCACUCCAGCGGCAAAUUGAGGAUCUAAACAUGGCAUGGAGCAUCAGACCAAAUGCAACAAUGAGCAAUUACAGCAAUUUUAGGAUGAUUGUAAUUGAAAUGGCGGAAAAAUCAUAAAUACAAGCACUAGUAUUAUGAUUAAAUGGUUUAUCACUUUUGACCAACAGGUGGCGCUGUAAUCAAAUCAUUUUGGUGUGUUCUGUGUGAGGUGACAAUGGCACACACAAAGUUUGGUGUCAGUAUGCCAAAGCAUUGCAGAGAUACAGGCUGAAGUGUCAUUUUGGCAUCAUGCCUGAAAUUUGUCGCUGUGGUAUGCGUAAACGGUUUUGUCUAUCGAUUCAAAAUCCAUAACAUUUUGUCAACACAGUCUGAAGAUCAUCUGAUUCAAUUUUGGUGAAAAUCGG